GCCCCCAUAGUCUAACCUGGAUAGGACGCGACCCUGCGGAGGUUGCGGUCGGGGUUCAAAACGCUUUUUAGCUGCA
This 76-nucleotide transfer RNA is filed under the name Microcaldota archaeon. RNAcentral's name for it is "Candidatus Micrarchaeota archaeon (hot springs metagenome) tRNA-Arg". Lineage: Archaea; Nanobdellati; Microcaldota. The record is from RNAcentral.